Molecule: ribosomal RNA, 255 nt
Filed under: uncultured bacterium
Lineage: Bacteria
Description: partial 16S ribosomal RNA
Rfam family: Bacterial small subunit ribosomal RNA
Source: RNAcentral
UACGUAGGUGGCAAGCGUUGUCCGGAAUUAUUGGGCGUAAAGCGCGCGCAGGCGGCCUCUUAAGUCUGAUGUGAAAGCCCCCGGCUCAACCGGGGGAGGGCCAUUGGAAACGUGGGAGGCUUGAGUAUAGGAGAGAAGAGUGGAAUUCCACGUGUAGCGGUGAAAUGCGUAGAGAUGUGGAGGAACACCAGUGGCGAAGGCGACUCUUUGGCCUAUAACUGACGCUGAGGCGCGAAAGCGUGGGGAGCAAACAGG